GAAACAUCUAACAAAGAAAAGCUUUCUCGGGCUGUGAAAGUCUUGGCCUUAGGAGGAGCCAGAAUUCUAUGGAUCAAUGCAAAAUCAAAACCACCACCUCUACAUUAUCCACUUGUAGUAUCAUCUGAAUUUUCUUCCAAAAAGUGAAAAACGAAAAGGGUAUUUGAUUUGGGCAAGCCCCUUUACAGUUACAGUGAGUUGUAGUUAAAAGGUUUGUCUUUUUAAGAAAACAUGCUGUAGCUGGCCAAAGUCGAAUUGCUUCUUCCUGUGUUCUGUAAGAGAAGAGCUAAAACUGUGGACAUGGGAGUGUCUGUCGAUAGGCGCAAUGUUCAACCCUAACGAGGCGCAUCUUGUCUAUAUAAUCACCCGUCGUGACAGGUUUGAAAUAGAUAUAUAUGUAGUUGAUAAGUUGAUUCACAGAUAAGAGCGAUAGAGGGGGAGUCUGAAGCGUUGAAACUUGACAGUUCAGAAAAUCGUCGCAACCAAUUACGUCCAUCGCUCUCUCUCCCUCUCUCACUCUCUCCCUCUCCCUUGAGCAACUUUUCACACUCUCUCUCUCUUCGAAGUUCAGAGUCAUGUUUCUGAUGCCCUUGUUUUUCCGGCCAUUGGUUCGGCUGGUUUCAUCACUGGUGGAUCGGCCGGUGGUGUCCGUCACUACCAUACUCUACUACAGUGAAGUCCUCCCCCGGAACCUGAAUCUGGAACGGUUGAUCCGACCCGACUUGCUUGAUCAAGACAACCAUCUCUUUCAUUUCCUCAUCAAUCUCCUGCGAUGUUUCUGGUAGAGACGCUGACGACCCACGUUACUAACAUCCCUGCCCUCAGAUAAGCUUCUUUUGUUGUUCUCUUGCUUUAUGAUUUUGAUGAGUUGUUGUCAUCUUUGAGAUGGGCGGUGGUGAUUUUUUUAUUGGUAUACAGAGGGGUCCUGGAUUUUUUUUUUUCGAUUCAAAUGUAACCGUUGAUAUUUGCCUGGGCGUUUCAUCUCUGAUCUGAUCAAUAUUAGUUAUCAAUUUAGUCUGUGGGGGAAUCCAAA
Nelumbo nucifera (sacred lotus) is the source of this 1033-nucleotide long non-coding RNA. RefSeq lists it as uncharacterized. Lineage: Eukaryota; Viridiplantae; Streptophyta; Magnoliopsida; Proteales; Nelumbonaceae. The record is from RefSeq and is a predicted model, not a curated record.